UUGGUAGAAGCCAAAAAGAGGCUUAUCACUGUUAAUGAUUUCAUUGAAAUUCACUUUCCUACCAAG
Molecule: transfer RNA, 66 nt
Filed under: Panulirus penicillatus
Lineage: Eukaryota; Metazoa; Arthropoda; Malacostraca; Decapoda; Palinuridae
Description: tRNA-Asn
Source: RNAcentral